UGGAUCCAGACUUUGAUCCUGGCUCAGGAUGAACGCUAGCUACAGGCUUAACACAUGCAAGUCGAGGGGCAGCAUGGUCUUAGCUUGCUAAGGCCGAUGGCGACCGGCGCACGGGUGAGUAACACGUAUCCAACCUGCCGUCUACUCUUGGACAGCCUUCUGAAAGGAAGAUUAAUACAAGAUGGCAUCAUGAGUCCGCAUGUUCACAUGAUUAAAGGUAUUCCGGUAGACGAUGGGGAUGCGUUCCAUUAGAUAGUAGGCGGGGUAACGGCCCACCUAGUCUUCGAUGGAUAGGGGUUCUGAGAGGAAGGUCCCCCACAUUGGAACUGAGACACGGUCCAAACUCCUACGGGAGGCAGCAGUGAGGAAUAUUGGUCAAUGGGCGAGAGCCUGAACCAGCCAAGUAGCGUGAAGGAUGACUGCCCUAUGGGUUGUAAACUUCUUUUAUAAAGGAAUAAAGUCGGGUAUGCAUACCCGUUUGCAUGUACUUUAUGAAUAAGGAUCGGCUAACUCCGUGCCAGCAGCCGCGGUAAUACGGAGGAUCCGAGCGUUAUCCGGAUUUAUUGGGUUUAAAGGGAGCGUAGAUGGAUGUUUAAGUCAGUUGUGAAAGUUUGCGGCUCAACCGUAAAAUUGCAGUUGAUACUGGAUAUCUUGAGUGCAGUUGAGGCAGGCGGAAUUCGUGGUGUAGCGGUGAAAUGCUUAGAUAUCACGAAGAACUCCGAUUGCGAAGGCAGCCUGCUAAGCUGCAACUGACAUUGAGGCUCGAAAGUGUGGGUAUCAAACAGGAUUAGAUACCCUGGUAGUCCACACGGUAAACGAUGAAUACUCGCUGUUUGCGAUAUACGGCAAGCGGCCAAGCGAAAGCGUUAA
This 870-nucleotide ribosomal RNA is filed under the name uncultured Bacteroidota bacterium. Its description in RNAcentral is "bacterial SSU rRNA". It matches the Rfam family "Bacterial small subunit ribosomal RNA", at positions 1 to 863 of the family's 1533-position model. Lineage: Bacteria; Pseudomonadati; Bacteroidota. The record is from RNAcentral.